Molecule: ribosomal RNA, 447 nt
Filed under: uncultured bacterium
Lineage: Bacteria
Description: bacterial SSU rRNA
Rfam family: Bacterial small subunit ribosomal RNA
Source: RNAcentral
UAACGAAUCUUCCGCAAUGCACGAAAGUGUGACGGAGCGACGCCGCGUGGAGGACGAAGUUCUUCGGAAUGUAAACUCCUGUCAGGGGAAAGAAAGUUCUGAUCUACCCCAGAGGAAGAGGCGGCUAACUCUGUGCCAGCAGCCGCGGUAAUACAGAGGCCUCGAGCGUUAGACGGAAUCACUGGGCUUAAAGCGUGUGUAGGCGGAAGGGUAAGUACCUUGUGAAAUCCCACGGCUUAACCGUGGAACGGCUUGGUAUACUGCUUUUCUUGAGCAAUCUAGGGGCGAGUGGAACAGAUGGUGGAGCGGUGAAAUGCGUAGAUAUCAUCUGGAACGCCAAUGGUGAAGACAACUCGCUGGGGAUUUGCUGACGCUGAGACACGAAAGCCAGGGGAGCGAACGGGAUUAGAUACCCUUGUAGUCCCUGAGCGGGCUGGCAAGGCGCAU